Molecule: ribosomal RNA, 492 nt
Filed under: uncultured bacterium
Lineage: Bacteria
Description: partial 16S ribosomal RNA
Rfam family: Bacterial small subunit ribosomal RNA
Source: RNAcentral
AUUGAACGCUGGCGGCAUGCUUUACACAUGCAAGUCGAACGGUAACAGGCCUUCGGGUGCUGACGAGUGGCGCACGGGUGAGUAAUGCAUCGGAACGUGCCCAGAGGUGGGGGAUAACGCAGCGAAAGCUGUGCUAAUACCGCAUGUGAUCUGAGGAUGAAAGCGGGGGACCAGGCAGCAAUGUUUGGCCUCGCGCCUUUGGAGCGGCCGAUGUCAGAUUAGGUAGUUGGUGGGGUAAAGGCCUACCAAGCCGACGAUCUGUAGCUGGUCUGAGAGGACGACCAGCCACACUGGGACUGAGACACGGCCCAGACCCCUACGGGAGGCAGCAGUGGGGAAUUUUGGACAAUGGGCGGAAGCCUGAUCCAGCAAUGCCGCGUGCGGGAAGAAGGCCUUCGGGUUGUAAACCGCUUUUGUACGGAACGAAAAGGCUCUGGCUAAUACCUGGGGCUGAUGACGGUACCGGAAGAAUAAGCACCGGCUAACUACGUG